This 641-nucleotide ribosomal RNA is filed under the name Massalongia carnosa. Its description in RNAcentral is "SSU rRNA". It matches the Rfam family "Bacterial small subunit ribosomal RNA", at positions 375 to 1090 of the family's 1533-position model. Lineage: Eukaryota; Fungi; Ascomycota; Lecanoromycetes; Peltigerales; Massalongiaceae. The record is from RNAcentral.
GCAAUAGCUAAACGCACUAUUUUAUAGUGUAGUAUCGACCCUGUCGAAUAAAAUUCUAGGUAGAGUUAUGAUAAUGACAUUAUCUAUCUAUGUGUCUUGACCAAAUUACGUGCCAGCAGUCGCGGUAAUACGUAAAAGACUAGUGUUAUUCAUGAUUAAUAGGUUUAAAGAGUACCUAGACGGUUAAUGAAGCCCCUAAAGGGUACAUAUUAACUAGAGUUAUAUGAAAGGGAGCUUUGAGGUACUGUUGAGUGUAGAGAUGAAAUUCGUUAAUACCAGAUAAGUGGCACGGAUCUAUGCGAAGGCAUCUCCUUAUGUAAUAACUGACGUUGAAGGACGAAGGCUUUUGAAGUGAAGAGGAUUAGAUACCCUAGUAAUCCAAGCAGAAAAUGAUGAAUGUCAUAGGUUGAAUAAUAUAUUUGGUCUAUAAAUGAAAGUGUAAGCAUUCCACCUCAAGAGUAAUUUGGCAACAUUGAAACUGAAAUCAUUAGACCGUAUCUGAAACCAGUAGUGAAGUAUGUUGUUUAAUUAGACGGUCCGCAAAAAACCUUACCACAAUUUGAAUAUAUAUUUUAAUUAAUAUUUACAAGCGUUGCACGGCUGUCUUCAGUUAAUGUCGUGAGAUUUUGGUUAGUUCCAUU